AUGAAACGCCAGCAACAGAUGACUUUAAUGUCUUCAUGGAUGAAAAAAAAGAAAGGAGAUAGCACAGAUGAGGUGGAGCUGCUUCAGAACAGAGAGGGUGAGAUAGGGAAAAGCAGUAGCAGCAUGACGUUACAGAGAACAGAUGAGGUGAAGCUGCUUAAAGACAGGGAGGGUGAGACAGGGAGAAGUAGCUCAGAGUUGCAGGUGAGACAGGGAACAGGCGCAAGCGAAGAAGUGCAGAAGGGAGAGCUGCAGACCCAUUCAACUGUGAGCCACUGCUGCUGGUGCUGGCUAUACCUCCCAUUGUCCUUCCUUUAUGUGCGGAGUGGGGAGCGCGCGCACUGCAGGGCAUGGAAGCGCCCAUGCAAUCUCUUGCAUUUUUUCCUGUCAACAGUGUAA
This is a long non-coding RNA of Cyprinus carpio carpio, 399 nucleotides long. The record is from Ensembl. Lineage: Eukaryota; Metazoa; Chordata; Actinopteri; Cypriniformes; Cyprinidae.